This 241-nucleotide long non-coding RNA is filed under the name Lathyrus oleraceus (garden pea). Its description in RNAcentral is "Pisum sativum (pea) long non-coding RNA (PSAT_LNC005378)". The record is from RNAcentral. Lineage: Eukaryota; Viridiplantae; Streptophyta; Magnoliopsida; Fabales; Fabaceae.
UCAAAAAUAAGCAAAUAAAAAAGAAUAAAAAUUAGACGUAAAAGUGUUCAAAAAAAAAAAAUUAAAUUGAAUGUACCAAAAUUAUCAGUACAUAAUAAACUUCUCGAAGACAUACAGGUUUUUAAUAAAAAAAUUUAAAUAAAUAAAAAAAUGACCGGUUAGAAGGUUCGGACUGAUAAAAAUGCGACAAAAAAUAUAGUCGAAAAACUUAAAAGGAACACGCCAGUUUAAACUACGCGGA